RNAcentral lists this ribosomal RNA (899 nucleotides) under uncultured Bathyarchaeota archaeon. RNAcentral describes it as "bacterial SSU rRNA". It matches the Rfam family "Archaeal small subunit ribosomal RNA", at positions 1 to 879 of the family's 1478-position model. Lineage: Archaea; Thermoproteati; Candidatus Bathyarchaeota. The record is from RNAcentral.
UCUGGUUGAUCCUGCCGGACCCCACUGCUAUCGGGUUAAGACUAAGCCAUGCGAGUCGAGCGUCUCUGGCCAUAGUAGAGACGCAGCAUACGGCUCAGUAACACGUGGCUAACCUGCCCUUGAGACGAGGACAACCCCGGAAACCUGGGGCUAAUCGCGAUAGAUGGAAAUGCUUGGAAUGGUUUUCCGUCCAAAAGGUGUUAGGGUCAUGCUUCUUGACAUCGCUCAAGGAUGGGGCCGCGACUGAUCAGGUUGUUGGCGGGGAAAAGGCCCACCAAGCCUAUAACCAGUACGGGCCAUGAUAGUGGUAGCCCGGAGAUGGGCACUGAGAUAAGGGCCCAGGCCCUACGGGGCGCAGCAGGCGCGAAAACUUCGCAAUGCGCGAAAGCGUGACGAGGUUAUCCCGAGUGCCGUCCGCUGAGGAUGGCUUUUYUUUGGUUUAAGGAGCCAGGGGAAUAAGAGGAGGGUAAGUCUGGUGUCAGCCGCCGCGGUAAUACCAGCUUCUCGAGUGGUGGGGGCGAUUAUUGGGCCUAAAGCGUCCGUAGCCCGCUUAUUAAGUCCUCCGUUAAAUCCAACGAUUCAAUCGUUGGACCGCGGAGGAUACUGGCAAGCUAGGGGGCGGAAGAGGCUGGCGGUAUUCCUAGGGUAGGGGUGAAAUCCUAUAAUCCUAGGAGGACCACCAGUGGCGAAGGCGGCCAGCUAGAACGCGCCCGACGGUGAGGGACGAAAGCUGGGGGAGCAAACCGGAUUAGAUACCCGGGUAGUCCCAGCUGUAAACGAUGCAGACUAGGUGUUGAAACGGCUACGAGCCGUUUCAGUGCCGCAGAGAAGUCAUUAAGUCUGCCGCCUGGGGAGUACGGCCGCAAGGCUGAAACUUAAAGGAAUUGGCGGGGGAGCAC